UACGAAGGGGGCUAGCGUUGUUCGGAAUCACUGGGCGUAAAGCGCACGCAGGCGGAUCGUUAAGUCAGGGGUGAAAUGCCGAGGCUCAACCUCGGAACUGCCUUUGAUACUGGCGAUCUUAGAGUCCGGGAGAGGUGAGUGGAACUCCGAGUGUAGAGGUGAAAUUCGUAGAUAUUCGGAAGAACACCAGUGGCGAAGGCGGCUCACUGGCCCGGUACUGACGCUCAGGUGCGAAAGCGUGGGGAGCAAAC
This 251-nucleotide ribosomal RNA is filed under the name uncultured bacterium. Its description in RNAcentral is "partial 16S ribosomal RNA". It matches the Rfam family "Bacterial small subunit ribosomal RNA", at positions 524 to 773 of the family's 1533-position model. The record is from RNAcentral.